UACGGGGGGGGCAAGCGUUGUUCGGAAUUACUGGGCGUAAAGGGCUCGUAGGCGGCCAACUAAGUCAGACGUGAAAUCCCUCGGCUUAACCGGGGAACUGCGUCUGAUACUGGAUGGCUUGAGUUUGGGAGAGGGAUGCGGAAUUCCUGGUGUAGCGGUGAAAUGCGUAGAUAUCAGGAGGAACACCUGUGGUGUAGACAGCUUACUGGACCACGACUGACGCUGAGACACGAAAGCGUGGGUAGCAAACAGG
This 253-nucleotide ribosomal RNA is filed under the name uncultured bacterium. RNAcentral's name for it is "partial 16S ribosomal RNA". It matches the Rfam family "Bacterial small subunit ribosomal RNA", at positions 524 to 776 of the family's 1533-position model. The record is from RNAcentral.